RNAcentral lists this ribosomal RNA (465 nucleotides) under Vreelandella stevensii. RNAcentral's name for it is "partial 16S ribosomal RNA". It matches the Rfam family "Bacterial small subunit ribosomal RNA", at positions 338 to 795 of the family's 1533-position model. The record is from RNAcentral. Lineage: Bacteria; Pseudomonadati; Pseudomonadota; Gammaproteobacteria; Oceanospirillales; Halomonadaceae.
CCUACGGGUGGCAGCAGUGGGGAAUAUUGGACAAUGGGCGAAAGCCUGAUCCAGCCAUGCCGCGUGUGUGAAGAAGGCCUUCGGGUUGUAAAGCACUUUCAGUGGGGAAGAAAGCCUUGGGGCUAAUACCCUCGAGGAAGGACAUCACCCACAGAAGAAGCACCGGCUAACUCCGUGCCAGCAGCCGCGGUAAUACGGAGGGUGCGAGCGUUAAUCGGAAUUACUGGGCGUAAAGCGCGCGUAGGCGGUCUGAUAAGCCGGUUGUGAAAGCCCCGGGCUCAACCUGGGAACGGCAUCCGGAACUGUCAGGCUAGAGUGCAGGAGAGGAAGGUAGAAUUCCCGGUGUAGCGGUGAAAUGCGUAGAGAUCGGGAGGAAUACCAGUGGCGAAGGCGGCCUUCUGGACUGACACUGACGCUGAGGUGCGAAAGCGUGGGUAGCAAACAGGCUUAGAUACCCGUGUAGUC